This 759-nucleotide ribosomal RNA is filed under the name uncultured bacterium. RNAcentral describes it as "bacterial SSU rRNA". It matches the Rfam family "Bacterial small subunit ribosomal RNA", at positions 28 to 776 of the family's 1533-position model. The record is from RNAcentral.
GAUGAACGCUAGCUACAGGCUUAACACAUGCAAGUCGAGGGGCAGCAUGGGCUUAGCUUGCUAAGGCCGAUGGCGACCGGCGCACGGGUGAGUAACGCGUAUCCAACCUGCCUUACACUCUUGGACAGCCUUCUGAAAGGGAGAUUAAUACAAGAUGUUAUCAUGAGUAAGCAUUUUCGCAUGAUUAAAGGUUUACCGGUGUAAGAUGGGGAUGCGUUCCAUUAGAUAGUAGGCGGGGUAACGGCCCACCUAGUCUUCGAUGGAUAGGGGUUCUGAGAGGAAGGUCCCCCACAUUGGAACUGAGACACGGUCCAAACUCCUACGGGAGGCAGCAGUGAGGAAUAUUGGUCAAUGGACGAGAGUCUGAACCAGCCAAGUAGCGUGAAGGAUGAAGGUUCUAUGGAUUGUAAACUUCUUUUAUACGGGAAUAAACGAAUCCACGCGUGGAUUUUUGCAUGUACCGUAUGAAUAAGGAUCGGCUAACUCCGUGCCAGCAGCCGCGGUAAUACGGAGGAUCCGAGCGUUAUCCGGAUUUAUUGGGUUUAAAGGGAGCGUAGAUGGGUUGUUAAGUCAGUUGUGAAAGUUUGCGGCUCAACCGUAAAAUUGCAAUUGAUACUGGCAGUCUUGAGUACAGUUGAGGUAGGCGGAAUUCGUGGUGUAGCGGUGAAAUGCUUAGAUAUCACGAAGAACUCCGAUCGCGAAGGCAUAUGUCCGGAGUGCAACUGACGCUGAGGCUCGAAAGUGUGGGUAUCANACAGG